GAUGAACGCUGGCGGCGUGCCUAAUACAUGCAAGUCGAGCGAACAGACGAGGAGCUUGCUCCUCUGACGUUAGCGGCGGACGGGUGAGUAACACGUGGAUAACCUACCUAUAAGACUGGGAUAACUUCGGGAAACCGGAGCUAAUACCGGAUAAUAUAUUGAACCGCAUGGUUCAAUAGUGAAAGACGGUUUUGCUGUCACUUAUAGAUGGAUCCGCGCCGCAUUAGCUAGUUGGUAAGGUAACGGCUUACCAAGGCAACGAUGCGGAGCCGACCUGAGAGGGUGAUCGGCCACACUGGAACUGAGACACGGUCCAGACUCCUACGGGGGGCAGCAGUAGGGAAUCUUCCGCAAUGGGCGAAAGCCUGACGGAGCAACGCCGCGUGAUUGAUGAAGGUCUUCGGAUCGUAAAACUCUGUUAUUAGGGAAGAACAAAUGUGUAAGUAACUAUGCACGUCUUGACGGUACCUAAUCAGAAAGCCACGGCUAACUACGCG
RNAcentral lists this ribosomal RNA (497 nucleotides) under uncultured bacterium. Its description in RNAcentral is "partial 16S ribosomal RNA". It matches the Rfam family "Bacterial small subunit ribosomal RNA", at positions 28 to 507 of the family's 1533-position model. The record is from RNAcentral.